RNAcentral lists this ribosomal RNA (491 nucleotides) under uncultured bacterium. RNAcentral describes it as "bacterial SSU rRNA". It matches the Rfam family "Bacterial small subunit ribosomal RNA", at positions 29 to 508 of the family's 1533-position model. The record is from RNAcentral.
AGUGAACGCUGGCGGUAGGCCUAACACAUGCAAGUCGAACGGCAGCACAGAGGAGCUUGCUCCUUGGGUGGCGAGUGGCGGACGGGUGAGGAAUACAUCGGAAUCUACUCUGUCGUGGGGGAUAACGUAGGGAAACUUACGCUAAUACCGCAUACGACCUACGGGUGAAAGCGGGGGAUCGCAAGACCUCGCGCGAUUGGAGCGGCCGAUAUCAGAUUAGGUAGUUGGUGAGGUAAAGGCUCACCAAGCCGACGAUCUGUAGCUGGUCUGAGAGGACGACCAGCCACACUGGGACUGAGACACGGCCCAGACUCCUACGGGAGGCAGCAGUGGGGAAUUUUGGACAAUGGGCGCAAGCCUGAUCCAGCCAUGCCGCGUGCGGGAAGAAGGCCUUCGGGUUGUAAACCGCUUUUGUCAGGGAAGAAAAGGUUCUGGCUAAUACCUGGGACUCAUGACGGUACCUGAAGAAUAAGCACCGGCUAACUACGUGC